AUGCUCAUGUGGCCAAAUUCGCUCUCCUUGAACUACUCUGGCAAUGGCCUCCCUCUAUAUUCCUGCCUCUCUGCGCACUGCUUCUUAUCCAUCCCUGUGCGGCCAUGCGCCAUGGCUUCUACCGGCUGCUGCAAGGGAUGGCCGGAGAGUGCACUGCUGCGGGAGCCGACCGAAUACGCCGCUGUUGCACUGCCAUACGUCUCUGCUGCUAGUAGCAGGGAGACAGCGAACUACACAAGCAACAGAGCAACAAUGAGAUCCACGAGCCCUGACGACAACGGCAAGCUGGAGUCUCCCCUGUCGAGCUCAACCAGGAAUAGGACGACAACGAUGUCUCAGAGCAGCACGGUCGACCUCGGCGCCCUCCUGCCCGGUGAAGCCCCACUAGCAAAACUCAAGAUGCUGUCCAACUAA
This 414-nucleotide ribosomal RNA is filed under the name Triticum aestivum (bread wheat). RNAcentral describes it as "partial small subunit ribosomal RNA". The record is from RNAcentral. Lineage: Eukaryota; Viridiplantae; Streptophyta; Magnoliopsida; Poales; Poaceae.